CCUACGGGUGGCAGCAGUGGGGAAUAUUGCACAAUGGGGGAAACCCUGAUGCAGUGACGCCGCGUGCGUGAAGAAGUAAUUCGUUAUGUAAAGCUCUAUUAGCAGGGAAGAAAAUGACGUUACCUGAGUAAGAAGCCACGGCCAACUACGUGCCAGCAGCCGCGGUAAUACGUAGGGGGCAGGCGUUAUACGGAUUUACUGGGUGUUAUGGGAGGGUAGACGGCAGGGCAAGUCUGGAGUGAAAGGCGGGGGCGCAAACACCGCACUGCUCGGGAAACUGUACGGCUGGAGUGCAGGAGAGGUAAGUGGAAUUCCUAGGGUAGCGGUGAAAUGCGUAGAUAUUAGGAGGAACACCAGUGGCGAAGGCGGCUUACGGGAGUGUUACUGACGUUGAGGCUCGAAAGCGUGGGGAGCAAACAGGAUUAGAUACCCGUGUAGUC
RNAcentral lists this ribosomal RNA (440 nucleotides) under uncultured bacterium. Its description in RNAcentral is "partial 16S ribosomal RNA". It matches the Rfam family "Bacterial small subunit ribosomal RNA", at positions 338 to 795 of the family's 1533-position model. The record is from RNAcentral.